RNAcentral lists this ribosomal RNA (232 nucleotides) under uncultured bacterium. RNAcentral's name for it is "partial 16S ribosomal RNA". It matches the Rfam family "Bacterial small subunit ribosomal RNA", at positions 99 to 334 of the family's 1533-position model. The record is from RNAcentral.
CGGACGGGGGAGUAAUGUCUGGGAAACUGCCUGAUGAGGGGGGAUAACUACUGGAAACGGUAGCUAAUACCGCAUAACGUCGCAAGACCAAAGAGGGGGACCUUCGGGCCUCUUGCCAUCGGAUGUGCCCAGAUGGGAUUAGCUAGUAGGUGGGGUAACGGCUCACCUAGGCGACGAUCCCUAGCUGGUCUGAGAGGAUGACCAGCCACACUGGAACUGAGACACGGUCCAG